GCAUAAUAAUUUGUCUAUUAAUUGUAGACUAGAAUGAACGGAAUAACAAAAUAAGUGCUGUAUCAACUUGACUUAUAUAAACUAUUAUUAAAGUGAAGAAACUUUAAUUAAAUAAAAGGACAAGAAGACCCUAUAGAGCUUUAUUAUAAAUCAAUUAUUAAUUGAUACUAAUUCGGUUGGGGCGACCUAGGAAAAAUCAUCCUUUAUAUAAAAGAUCUACCAAUCAUUCUUCAGACCCUUUAUCAAGAUCACAGAAUUAAGCUACCUUAGGGAUAACAGGCUAAUCCUAUUAUAGAGCUCUUAUCGACAAUAGGGA
This 316-nucleotide ribosomal RNA is filed under the name Cognettia chalupskyi. Its description in RNAcentral is "partial 16S ribosomal RNA". It matches the Rfam family "Bacterial large subunit ribosomal RNA", at positions 1959 to 2517 of the family's 2925-position model. The record is from RNAcentral. Lineage: Eukaryota; Metazoa; Annelida; Clitellata; Enchytraeida; Enchytraeidae.